GACGAACGCUGGCGGCGUGCUUAACACAUGCAAGUCGAACGCUGAAGCUCAGCUUGCUGGGUGGAUGAGUGGCGAACGGGUGAGUAACACGUGAGUAACCUGCCCUCUUCUUUGGGAUAACGCCCGGAAACGGGUGCUAAUACUGGAUAUUCACUGAUUCUCGCAUGGGGGUUGGUGGAAAGGUUUUUUCUGGUGGGGGAUGGGCUCGCGGCCUAUCAGCUUGUUGGUGGGGUGAUGGCCUACCAAGGCUUUGACGGGUAGCCGGCCUGAGAGGGUGACCGGUCACAUUGGGACUGAGAUACGGCCCAGACUCCUACGGGAGGCAGCAGUGGGGAAUAUUGCGCAAUGGGCGAAAGCCUGAUGCAGCGACGCCGCGUGAGGGAUGGAGGCCUUCGGGUUGUAAACCUCUUUCGCUCAUGGUCAAGCCGCAGCUUUGGGUUGUGGUGAGGGUAGUGGGUAAAGAAGCGCCGGCUAACUACGUG
This 482-nucleotide ribosomal RNA is filed under the name uncultured bacterium. RNAcentral describes it as "partial 16S ribosomal RNA". It matches the Rfam family "Bacterial small subunit ribosomal RNA", at positions 28 to 507 of the family's 1533-position model. The record is from RNAcentral.